UUGCCAUGAUGGUUACAUUUUUCGUCAACAGCAUUUCACGCAGUGAAUGAUGAUGCUUCAGGUCUGAGCAA
This 71-nucleotide small nucleolar RNA is filed under the name Pogona vitticeps (central bearded dragon). RNAcentral describes it as "Small nucleolar RNA SNORD56 (ENSPVIG00000002633.1)". It matches the Rfam family "Small nucleolar RNA SNORD56". Rfam says of the family: U56 belongs to the C/D class of snoRNA which contain the C (UGAUGA) and D (CUGA) box motifs. Most of the members of the box C/D family function in directing site-specific 2'-O-methylation of substrate RNAs. Lineage: Eukaryota; Metazoa; Chordata; Lepidosauria; Squamata; Agamidae. The record is from Rfam by way of RNAcentral.